GUUUCUAAAAUAUUUGUAGCAAAUUUUUAUGUAAAAAAUCUCAAAUAAUUAGCUUAUGGCUUUAUGAAGCUUUUAGAAUGAUAAGCAAUAUUUUAUAGCUUGCAAAAAUUAUUUAAUCGUAAAGUAUGUAUAAACAAAAAAAACUGAACGAAUCGUUACGUUUAAUUUUUGCAUUACAUACAUCCAUCCUGACAUCAAAUUUUUGUGCUUUUGCUCGGGGCAUAAAAUUGACAUUACAAACUAAACGCAAAUAACCUCAAAAAGUUGACAUUAGAAAAUUUCAUAGAAAUUGCCUUUUAAUAAUUUAAGAAAAUCAAUAUCGUAAUUUCGAAAACAAAAUGUUUCGUCUACCAUUCGAAAAUCGAGUAGAUCCGAUGGAAGAAAAGCGUCAAGCUCGAGAGAACACCAUCAAUAGUGUUAUCACAUUUUGUGUUCUUUGUGCAGCUAUAAGACUGACUCCUGUUAUCAUUGAACACAGCGGAUUUUAAUUUCUGUCCUCACUCGAGUACAAGGCACUACAGUGAUGAGCUGCCACAGAAACUGGUGCGGUGGAGGACAUUAAACUUAACAUGUGGCACUCGAAUGCCUAACCAACAUGUAGCAUCUUGCAAUACUAUUCAAUAGCUGUUAUCAUUCCUUAUUAAUAAAAGAAUGUAGUUUGUUGUUA
This is a long non-coding RNA of Plutella xylostella (diamondback moth), 667 nucleotides long. RefSeq lists it as uncharacterized. The record is from RefSeq and is a predicted model, not a curated record. Lineage: Eukaryota; Metazoa; Arthropoda; Insecta; Lepidoptera; Plutellidae.